Molecule: ribosomal RNA, 774 nt
Filed under: uncultured Neocallimastigales
Lineage: Eukaryota; Fungi; Neocallimastigomycota; Neocallimastigomycetes; Neocallimastigales
Description: partial large subunit ribosomal RNA
Rfam family: Eukaryotic large subunit ribosomal RNA
Source: RNAcentral
GUAGUCUCGCACAGAUGCAUAUCAAUAAGCGGAGGAAAAGAAACUAACAAGGAUUCCCCUAGUAACGGCGAGUGAAGCGGGAAGAGCUCAAAUUUGAAAUCUUAAAGGGUUUCCCUUUACGAAUUGUAGUUUAAAGAAGUGUUUUCUGUUGAGGUUUUGGUAAAAGUUCUUUGGAAUAGGACAUCAUAGAGGGUGAGAAUCCCGUAUUUGACCUUUACUUUCAACUUUGUGAUACACUUUCAAAGAGUCGGAUUGUUUGGGAAUGCAGUCCAAAAUGGGUGGUAAAUUUCAUCUAAAGCUAAAUAUUGGCGAGAGACCGAUAGCGAACAAGUACCGUGAGGGAAAGAUGAAAAGAACUUUGAAAAGAGAGUUAAACAGUACGUGAAAUUGUCAAAAGGAAAGCGUUUGACACCAGUGUUGUUUUUCUGAAAAUCAAUUAAAGAACUGUUUAUGCUAAGUUGUUUAGACUUUAUCAGCUAACUGUUUAGUUUUGAGCUUUUCUUUAAUGCACUUUUCAGUUAACAAGUCAACAUCAAUUUCUUUUGCUGUAAAAAAGCUUGAGGAAGGUGGCUUGAGAUUCGUCUUAAGUGUUUAUAGCCUCUUGCCUAUGCAGUCGGAGAGAUUGAGGUCUGCAGCGUAGAUCCUUCGGGGCUAAAUGCAUUUGUGCUAAGUUAUAACAUUUUAUAGACAACUUGUUGACUAUGAUUUGUCUUGUAGCUUACUCGCUUAUGUUAUUUUACCUACGCUUAGGAUGUUGAUCUGUAGUGCGUGCGC